CAGCAGCCGCGGUAAUACGAACCGUGCGAACGUUAUUCGGAAUUACUGGGCUUAAAGCGCGUGUAGGCGGGUCGGCACGUCGGUCGCUGAAAUCCCCCGGCUCAACCGGGGAAGUGGCGCCGAUACGGCCGGCCUGGAGGGGGGUAGGGGGGUCUGGAACUUCCGGUGGAGCGGUGAAAUGCGUUGAGAUCGGAAGGAACGCCCGUGGCGAAAGCGAGACCCUGGACCCUUACUGACGCUGAGACGCGAAAGCCAGGGGAGCGAACGGGAUUAGAUACCCCCGUAGUCCCUGUCUCUUAUA
Molecule: ribosomal RNA, 301 nt
Filed under: uncultured bacterium
Lineage: Bacteria
Description: partial 16S ribosomal RNA
Rfam family: Bacterial small subunit ribosomal RNA
Source: RNAcentral